Molecule: ribosomal RNA, 157 nt
Filed under: Loxocarpus incanus
Lineage: Eukaryota; Viridiplantae; Streptophyta; Magnoliopsida; Lamiales; Gesneriaceae
Description: partial 26S ribosomal RNA
Rfam family: Eukaryotic large subunit ribosomal RNA
Source: RNAcentral
CCGUGACCCCAGGUCAGGCGGGAUCACCCGCUGAGUUUAAGCAUAUCAAUAAGCGGAGGAGAAGAAACUUACAAGGAUUCCCCUAGUAACGGCGAGCGAACCGGGAAGAGCCCAACUUGGAAUCGGGCGACCUCCACGUCGUUCGAAUUGUAGUCUG